This 504-nucleotide long non-coding RNA is filed under the name Phoenix dactylifera (date palm). Its description in RNAcentral is "long non-coding RNA (PDAC_LNC020150)". Lineage: Eukaryota; Viridiplantae; Streptophyta; Magnoliopsida; Arecales; Arecaceae. The record is from RNAcentral.
GCCAGCUCAAACCCUCCAAUUAAAUCACAUCAAAACACUAUUCACCCUUUGUUUAAUAUUAUUAAAUUCCCAUUUUGCCCCUAACACUUCAACAUAUCUACCGUUAUGCCAUUAACUUUUGAUUCUUUCCUAUUUUACCCCUUAUAUUAAUUGAAAAGGACUAUUCUAUCCCUUUUUAUAUAAAAAUAAUAUUUUGGGGUUAUUACAUCCUCCCCCCCUUAUAUAAAAUUCGUCCUCGAAUUUAAAAGAGUAAAUUACCUGUCAUAGCUGCAUUCGAUGUCUGUGCCUCCUGUGGAUUUACCGUGAACACCCUUCCUUGCCCUCUACCUACUGGAGCUGAUGGCUGAGAUGGUCCAACACUCUGCUGUGAUGCUGGUGUCUGACCUCUGCCUCUGUCUACAGGCCCCCUACUACUAGGCCUGUCCAUCUGCAUAGAAGGGUAGGAUGCCAAAGGCACAAACUGCUGGGUGGCACCCUGCAGGCAUUCUCUGGCAAAAUGACCCG